Molecule: ribosomal RNA, 406 nt
Filed under: uncultured bacterium
Lineage: Bacteria
Description: partial 16S ribosomal RNA
Rfam family: Bacterial small subunit ribosomal RNA
Source: RNAcentral
AUUGAACGCUGGCGGCAUGCCUAACACAUGCAAGUCGAGCGAGCGGCGGACGGGUGAGGAAUGUCUGGGAAACUGCCUGAUGGAGGGGGAUAACUACUGGAAACGGUAGCUAAUAACGCAUACCAUCAGAUGUGCCCAGCUGGGAUUAGCUAGUAGGUGGGGUAACGGCUCACCGAGUCGACGAUCCCUAGCUGGUCUGGGAGGAUGACCAGCCACACUGGAACUGGGACACGGUCCAGACUCCUACGGGAGGCAGCAGUGGAGAAUAUUGCGCAAUGGGCGCAAGCCUGAUGCAGCCAUGCCGCGUGUGUGAAGAAGGCCUUCGGGUUGUAAAGCACUUUCAGCGGGGAGGCGUUACCCGCAGAAGAAGCACCGGCUAACUCCGUGCCAGCAGCCGCGGUAAUAC